CCUUUUUGAUACCAUAUUUUACUUCUUUAGCCCCAUUCUUUGAUUGCUUAUUUCUCUACUCCCCCUCAACAUAGCAAACAUAAAGGAUAUAUCAAUUUGCUCAUCUAGAAAAUAUUGCAAUUCAUAGUAUUUCUCAGCACUAAUAUGAGUUAUUUUUCAUAUCUCAUAAUUAAAAUAAUUCAAUUUGAUCACAUUCAUAGACAUUCAUUGAAAGUCAAAGCACAUAUAUAUAUAUAUAUUCAAAAGUGACUGAAUACAAAAGGUGUUCCAAUACACAUGAGUCAACUCAAAAUACAAAAGUCAUGGAUAGAAACUAUCCAAGAGUUAAUUAGCCAACAAAUACAAGGCCCAUAAGAUAGAUCCUAGAUAUAGGAGACAAACUAAUCUAGAUCUAAUAGAUGUCAUGGCUAGAGGAAUCAGAAUCUGAAGAAUCAGAGAUAGGGUGAGG
This 448-nucleotide long non-coding RNA is filed under the name Elaeis guineensis (African oil palm). RNAcentral's name for it is "long non-coding RNA (EGUI_LNC065241)". The record is from RNAcentral. Lineage: Eukaryota; Viridiplantae; Streptophyta; Magnoliopsida; Arecales; Arecaceae.